AUACGGAGGGGGCUAGCGUUGUUCGGAAUUACUGGGCGUAAAGCGCGCGUAGGCGGAUUGAUCAGUCAGGGGUGAAAUCCCGAGGCUUAACCUCGGAACUGCCUCUGAUACUGUCAAUCUUGAGUUCGAGAGAGGUGAGUGGAAUUCCUAGUGUAGAGGUGAAAUUCGUAGAUAUUAGGAAGAACACCAGUGGCGAAGGCGGCUCACUGGCUCGAUUCUGACGCUGAGGUGCGAAAGCGUGGGGAGCAAACAGGAUUAGAUACCCUAGUAGUCC
RNAcentral lists this ribosomal RNA (274 nucleotides) under uncultured bacterium. RNAcentral's name for it is "partial 16S ribosomal RNA". It matches the Rfam family "Bacterial small subunit ribosomal RNA", at positions 523 to 796 of the family's 1533-position model. The record is from RNAcentral.